UGCGCCCGUUUGUGGCGGGAAACUGGCUUCUGCUGCGCCGACGCGGCCUCUCCCGGACAUCAGUCUGGGAGGUGGAACGGAAGCCCAUGCACCUCGCUCAGACCUCACCUGGGAAUCCUUCCUCGGCUUCCGGGAAUGAAGGAUUUCAUGAGCUCUACGUGGUAAUGUGUGAAACAGAAAUCUGCAGAAGGAAGAGGAAAGUCUUGGCCCCUGGAUUUUAAGGUUCUGAAUCCAGCAGAUAUGAAGGACCAAUGAAUUUUUGGAGUUUCUGUUAAAUUAGUAUGGUAAUUUUAAGCAUCUUUAGGGAAAAGUUAAGCACUAUAAUUAGAUGGUGAUGUUUUUUGAUUCUCUGUGAUUAUUUAUUGUUUUGCUACCAUACCAAAAAACCCCACCAAAAACCUAACAGUGCAGCUUUCAUAAAUAUACUUACUAGCUAGAGUCAAUUAUGCUAGAUUUUUAUAUGAAGAGCUAGUAGUGAUAUUUUGAAUGUAAUUGAAUUCUUUGUAUAAGUACAUUCUAAGUCAUAAAUUCCAAUCUCUGAAUGCAUUUUCAAGUUUAUGUUGUAUUCUGUUCUAUUCUGUGUGAGGUGUGUCAAAUUUAGUUGUGUAGAAUCAUGAGAUACAUAUUUACAAUUACUUCUCUCCCUUUGUCUGCAUCUCUUUCGGAUUCAUUCUUAUUGUUCUCCCUCUUUUUCCCUCAUCACCAUUUCUCUCUAAAAUGUAUGUAAAUACUUAUACUACUUUAAGUCUUAUUAAGCUCAGACUGAAAGACCUUUUGUACUUAUGACUAAUACAAACACAAGGCCCAUAUUUCAUUUUUCUUACAUUAAAUAUCAGUGGUAUACUUUUUGUGAUAAUGUGGAACUGUAUUGGUAUAAGCUAUGUCAGUUUCAAUAAUUUAUUGAAAUAGUUACCGAUAAAAUCCCAUGGCCAUGUCUUAUAACAUGAUAGAUCCAUCCCCUGCCAACUGUCUUUUUUUUUUUUUUUUUUUUUGAAGAUUUCUUUUAAAAAUUGCUAAAUGCUUGGUCCUGACAGGAAACAUGUGCUACCAGAGGAUGGAA
RNAcentral lists this long non-coding RNA (1060 nucleotides) under Canis lupus familiaris (dog). RNAcentral's name for it is "lncRNA (ENSCAFG00000050615.1)". The record is from RNAcentral. Lineage: Eukaryota; Metazoa; Chordata; Mammalia; Carnivora; Canidae.